RNAcentral lists this ribosomal RNA (752 nucleotides) under uncultured archaeon. RNAcentral describes it as "bacterial SSU rRNA". It matches the Rfam family "Archaeal small subunit ribosomal RNA", at positions 102 to 859 of the family's 1478-position model. The record is from RNAcentral.
CAAUAAUCUACCCUUAGAUUCAGAAUAACCUUGGGAAACUGAGGCUAAAUCUGAAUAGGAGUAAAAAACUGGAAUGUUUUUACUUUUAAACGUAAGGUCUAAGGAUGAGUUGGCGGCCGAUUAGGUUGUUGGUGGUGUAAUGGACCACCAAGCCAAAGAUCGGUAGGGGUCUUGAGAGAGAUAGCCCCGAGAAGGGCACUGAGAUACUGGCCCUAGCCCCACGGGGUGCAGCAGGCGCGAAACCUUUACAAUGCACGCAAGUGUGAUAAGGGAACCCUAAGUGCUUUACUUUUGUAAGGCUUUUACUAAGAGUAAGAAUCUUGGUGAAUAAGUGGUGGGCAAGACUGGUGCCAGCCGCCGCGGUAACACCAGCGCCACGAGUGGGAAUCGUAUUUAUUGGGUCUAAAGCGUCCGUAGCCGGUUUAAUAAGUUUCUUGUGAAAUCAUUAAGCCUAACUUAAUGGCGUGCUUGAAAUACUGUUAAACUAGGGACUUGGAGGAGUCAGAAGUAUUUCUAAGGGAGCGGUAAAAUGCUAUAAUCUUAGAAGGACUACCUGUGGCGAAGGCGUCUGACUAGAAUAGAUUCGACGGUGAGGGACGAAAGCUAGGGGAGCAAUCCGGAUUAGAUACCCGAGUAGUCCUAGCUGUAAACUCUGCGAGCUAGGUGUUGCAUAUUCUUCGGGAAUAUGCAGUGUCGUAAUGAAGAUGUUAAGCUCGCCACCUGGGAAGUAUGGUCGCAAGACUGAAACUUAA